GGCUGCAAUUCGCCUUCAUGAAGCCGGAAUUGCUAGUAAUGGCAGGUCAGCAUACUGCCGUGAAUACGUUCCCGGGCCCUUGUACACACCGCCCGUCACACCAUGAGAGUUGGGGAUACCCGAAGCCUGUGAGCUAACUUAUAGAGGCAGCAGUCGAAGGUAGAAUCAAUGAUUGGGGUGAAGUCGUAACAAGGUAAC
Molecule: ribosomal RNA, 198 nt
Filed under: uncultured bacterium
Lineage: Bacteria
Description: partial 16S ribosomal RNA
Rfam family: Bacterial small subunit ribosomal RNA
Source: RNAcentral